GAUGAAGAACGCAGCGAAAUGCGAUACGUAGUGUGAAUUGCAGAAUUCAGUGAAUCAUCGAAUCUUAGAACGCACAUUGCACCUCUCGGUAUUCCGGGAGGUAUGCCUGUUCGAGCGUCAUUUGUACCCUCAAGCUCUGCUUGGUGUUGGGUGUUUGUUCCGCCUCUGUGUGUGAACUCGCCUCAAAACAAUUGGCAGCCGGCGUACUUGUUUCGGAGCGCAGCACAUUUUGCGAUCCAGAUCAACGUACAGCGGCAUCCAAGAAGCCUUAUUUAACGCUCUUGACCUCGGAUCAGGUAGGGAUACCCGCUGAACUUAAGCAUAUCAAUAAGCGGAGGA
This 339-nucleotide unclassified non-coding RNA is filed under the name soil metagenome. Its description in RNAcentral is "partial contains 5.8S ribosomal RNA, internal transcribed spacer 2, and large subunit ribosomal RNA". The stretch from base 1 to 120 matches the Rfam family "5.8S ribosomal RNA", at positions 35 to 154 of the family's 154-position model. The record is from RNAcentral.